Molecule: ribosomal RNA, 475 nt
Filed under: uncultured bacterium
Lineage: Bacteria
Description: bacterial SSU rRNA
Rfam family: Bacterial small subunit ribosomal RNA
Source: RNAcentral
UCAGUCGACUCCUACGGGGAGGCAGCAGUGGGGAAUAUUGCACAAUGGGGGAAACCCUGAUGCAGCCAUGCCGCGUGUGUGAAGAAGGCCUUCGGGUUGUAAAGCACUUUCAGUAGGGAGGAAGGUAGUGUAGUUAACACCUGCACUAUUUGACGUUACCUACAGAAGAAGCACCGGCUAACUCCGUGCCAGCAGCCUCGGUAAUACGGAGGGUGCGAGCGUUAAUCGGAAUUACUGGGCGUAAAGCGCAUGCAGGCGGCCUGUUAAGUCAGAUGUGAAAGCCCGGGGCUUAACCUCGGAAUUGCAUUUGAAACUGGCAGGCUAGAGUCUUGUAGAGGGGGGUAGGAAUUUCAGGUGUAGCGGUGAAAUGCGUAGAGAUCUGAAGGAAUACCAGUGGCGAAGGCGGCCCCCUGGACAAAGACUGACGCUCAGAUGCGAAAGCGUGGGGAGCAAACAGGAUUAGAUACCCUGGUAG